Molecule: ribosomal RNA, 206 nt
Filed under: uncultured Bacillota bacterium
Lineage: Bacteria; Bacillati; Bacillota
Description: uncultured Firmicutes bacterium partial 16S ribosomal RNA
Rfam family: Bacterial small subunit ribosomal RNA
Source: RNAcentral
CAUGUAGGCGGGAAUCUAAGUCUGUUGUGAAAAUGCGGGGCUCAACCUCGUAUGGCGAUGGAAACUGGAUUUCUUGAGUGCAGGAGAGGAAAGGGGAAUUCCCAGUGUAGCGGUGGAAUGCGUAGAUAUUGGGAGGAACACCAGUGGCGAAGGCGGCUUUCUGGACUGGAACUGACGCUGAGGUGCGAAAGCUGGGGGAGCGAACA